RNAcentral lists this ribosomal RNA (261 nucleotides) under uncultured archaeon. Its description in RNAcentral is "partial 16S ribosomal RNA". It matches the Rfam family "Archaeal small subunit ribosomal RNA", at positions 748 to 1008 of the family's 1478-position model. The record is from RNAcentral.
CAGCCGUAAACUAUGCGCGUUAGGUGUAUCGGUGACCACGAGUUACCGAGGUGCCGAAGGGAAACCGUGAAACGUGCCGCCUGGGAAGUACGGCCGCAAGGCUGAAACUUAAAGGAAUUGGCGGGGAGCACCACAACAGGUGGAGCCUGCGGUUUAAUUUGGACUCAACGCCGGGAAGCUCACCGGAUAGGACAGCAGAAUGAUUGCCGGGCUGAAGACCCUGCAUGACUAGCUGAGAGGUGGUGCAUGGCGUCAGUGACU